GCCGCGCCCGCCGUCCUCGCCGCGGUCUUCUCUUCAGGCGCCUACCGCGGCUGGCAAGUCCCUGCUGGCAGAGCAGCGGAGGUCCCCGAAUCAACUUUCAAUUCCCCCUCUGCUUCUGCCUCACCAUUCUCUUCUCCGUGAAAGAUGGCUGUUUGGAGAAGGGGGCGAAGUUAGGGGGUCCUCGGCGCGGGGCGAAGGAGGGCGCGACAGCCUCGGCGGGAGCGGACGGAGGUUUCCCCUUUCCCAGCCUCUCGUGGACCAGCGUUGCCAGCUGAAGGAAGGUUGUGAAUCUGCAUCCCAGCCCAUUAGUCCUUCUCCUGAUUCCCGUGAUGAGUUCACCAGUGCAGCCUGGUCAGUUUGGUUGUUUCUUAAGCUAUUAACAGAUGUAAUAUGAAAGAUGUUGCUUUGUGUUGCUUCAAACCAAGCAAUUUAACUUAUGAAAGGACUUUUUAUUCUGAUGAGGAUGUGUGGAUACAAUGAAUUUUGAAUUUUGUGUUCUAUAGCUAAUCCUUUGUUAUGUAACCAUCUUGCUUUCCAGGCAAUUAAUUUCAUUUGAAUUAUUAUCUGAGCACUGGGCUUUAGUUCUUCUGCUAAUGUAACAUUUGGAUUGAAUUUUAUGAAGUUAUAAAUAUUUAUUAAAUAUGUUGUAGGCAUCUAAUUCAUAUCCAUAGUCUUUCUGAGUCCGUGUCUGUAUGUUUUAAAUUGUGUCAUAGGCUUUGGAUAUCAGCUUGUGGACUCAUUUUCCUCCUCCUUCUCUUUGACACACAGGAAGGAUAUUUCUCCUCCCUGCCCUUCUUUGCUGCCACUCCUGUUUCCUACAUACAUGUUUAAUUAUAAUCUCAGCACCUGCUUCCUCUGAGUCCAGUGUAAUGUGUGGCUCAUGUAGUGUUGUGAUAAGCACAGCCAACACCCAUUUCUCCAGGAACAGGGUGUCACUUUGGGAACAAACACAAUCCAAGUCUUAAAAAUGAUGGAGUAGUUUCAGAUAUCAUAUGUUAAACAUAGAGAAAUUUAAAAAGAAUUUUCUGUUUGAAUCAUUGUAGGAGUAUUUAUUUCUAUAUAUUCUUUAAAAAAAAAUCUCUCAGCACGUUGGUAUCUUUGAGUUAUCCAACUCCUGAGGUUGAAGCUAAUGUAAUAUUUUAUUCAGAGUUUAUAAAGGGAAAUCUUUUGCCAAGAUUUUCAGUCUGUGGAGUGCCACACCCAGAUCAGCUGCUCUGGAAUUCCAAUGUCUCAUCAACCUUUCCCAGAGCUCCAACAGGCUGCCAGCUUGUAUGUUGAAUUUGGAACUGAAAGGUUUUGGCGCGUACAACUGUAAUUGUUGAUUCUAAAUGAUGUAGUAAAGAUAUUCCAGAAUCUUUCUUCACAAUCAUGAUUUAUAAUUGGCGUUGUCAUCUGAAUAAGCACAUGAAGAGUUACACAGGCCUCUUAUCUCUGAGUCCUUGCAGUGCAGUGUUUCUCCAACUUUAGCAUCACUGGGAGGGCUUGUUAAAAUCAAGCCCCAUUCUCAAAGUUUUUGAUUCAGUAGAUCUUAGGUGGGUCCCAGGAAUUGUGAUACUUAUAAGUUUCCCCCCGGUGAGGCUACUGCUGCCUGAGGACUACACUUUGGAAAGCACUGAUCUAGCUUGCUAGUCCCGUUCCUUCCUCCACCUCUGCUUGCCUCCAUCCUCUCCUCCCUCCACACCCCCACCCUUACAGGCAGCCCUCUGUGCAUUACUUAUCACAAUUAUGGUGUAUUAUUACUGUCCUUUCUAUUGAGUUGGACUUAAAAUGAUGUGUGUGUUUUAUAUAUGCAUAUAUUACAUUUAAAUAUACAUUAUAUAUUGAUUUGUAUAUAACUUUAAUGUUUCAAAAUUACAUAAUUUAAAAGAGGCAUUUAAUUUAGAACUACCAUAGUCAAACAUUUUUUUUUCUUGUGGUAGAAUAUGUUAGAGUCAUUAAAAACAUAUUACAAGCAAUUGGAACAAAUUGGCUAAGUAUGAAUGUGGCAGAAAAUUUCCUCCAUUUCUAAAGUUACUGUCUAAAAUUUAUAUAGGGGAUUGUCUUUAAUUGUAAAGGACAGAAACUAGACUUUUAUAAAAUUGUCCCUGUCCCUUUAUUCUCUGCCUUCCUCCCCCAUAUCCUGUCCACAUUGUUUACCUCCCAGUUUUACUUCACAGAAGAGUGGCAGGGCAGAUUGAACCAUGGGAAAAUGGAAUUUUUGACAGUGACAGCAACUGUAUCCAAGUGAAACAUUUGAAAUGGCAUUUCUAUGUAAUCAUUAAAUGGGUAAAAAGUGCAGAUACCCUUGAUGGUUGAAGGUUGAAGGAUGCAACUAUAUGGGGAAAUUUUGAAUCCAAAUUAUAAUUAAACCCAAUUUAUCAUACUUAACUAACUUGUAAAUAGUGCAAGUACAGCAAUUUCAGUGUCUAUAUGGUCUUUUUUUAGCAUCUUUCUAGGAUGUAUGGACUUGGACCCACUUAUUUUUUUCUUUCCUUUUUAAAUUUAAGUAUAAUUAAUGUAUAAUAAUAUUUAUUUUACAGGUUACAGUAUAAUGAGUCACAAUUUUUAAAGCUUAUACUCCAUUUAUAGUUAUUAUAAAACAUUGGCUAUAUUUUCUGUGCUGUAUAAUAUAUCCUUGUAGCUUAUUUUAUACGUAUUGGUUUGUACCUCUUAACCCCUUAACCCCAUAUUGCCCCUUCCCUCUUCCCUCUCCCCACUGGUAGCCAACUAGAUUGCUCUCUAUAUCCCUGAGUCUGUUUCUUUUUUGUUACAUUCACUAGUUUGUUGGGUUUUUUUUUAGAUUCCAUGUAUCUGUCUUUCUUUGCUUUGUUUCACUUAGCAUAAUACCCUUCCAGUCCAUUCAUCUGUUGCAUAUGGUAGAAUUUCACAAUGGACCCACUUAUUUUUAAUGCGAAACAUGUAAUACCAUUAGACACUAUCGUAAGUGGUUAGACUUCCAGUUUAACCCAUUGAACCCUACUUAAAGAUAACUACUUUGCAGUGAAUGAAUACAGAAAAAUUUUGACAGCCUUUGAAAAAGAGAAUCAAUACAAUGUAGUAAGGAAUAUUUAAAAAUUUUGCAUGUUUAGAGAAAAGUGGACCAAUUUGACAGGAAAACAAACAAGUGAGAAAAUUUGAUGGAGAUAGUUCAUGUGAACUAUGGGCACCUUAGAUCAUUUCUCAGAAGGAUCAGCAUUACUUCUAAUUUCAUUCUAAAAGUAAUGAUUUUGGGGAGGCCAGUGUUAGGGUGAUUUCACUAUUCCUUUUCUCAUCUUAUGUAUGGAACAGAGGGAGGAAAUGGGGUGGGUGUGUGUGUGUGUGUGUGUGUGUGUGUGUGUGUGUGUGUAAAAUACAUGGUCAGAAGUAACAUUUACUGAACUUUGUGAGAUAAAGAAGAAAAGGAAAACAGAAGAGUGCAUGCAUCUAACGCUUAAGGGAGAAGAAGGAAACAUGAUUAAAGAGGAUUUGAGGUUAAAUAGAAAUCUUCUUGUCCAUGCAGUGUAUGUUGUUGGUUAUGUAGAAAGUGGCUGUGAAGUCAUGCUUCAAGGCGCAUGUGAAGACAGAGAUGUAUAUGUAUAGCUGUGUGUGUAUGUAUAGCUCAGCUUCUUAUGCUCAGGAUGAUAACAAUUUAUAGCAUUAUUUUAAAAUACAGAGUUCCUGUAUGUAAAUGGAAUACUUAAGAUGGUCAGAUACAUUGGACUUCUUUUCAAAAACACAAAGUGAAGUAAUACCAAAGACUUUGAUUAAUUCCACAUAUACCUGACACUGGCUCACAACUAGUAAUAUUUGACGGUUGCAAUCAGCAUACACUGACCCUGAGAAUGUUGAUUUUAUAAUUUGAAAAUGUCCUUUGAGGCUGCUAUUUUGAUGAGGAAGUUCUUGCUGGCCAUGAUACUUGUUCAGCUAGAAGAGGGAGUGAGAAAUGAGACAGCCACAAAGUGAAGCUCAUUUGACUUUUGAGUCAUUAAAAUUUCGUUAUGUACUUUCUUUCCUAUGCAUGAUUCUAGUCUGGUCUGUUGAGAACAGCAUUUUACAGAGGGUUUUUUUUUUUUUUUUUUGGUCUUUUUGUCUUUUAGGGCUGCAGUCACAGCAUAUGGAGGUUUCCAGGCUAGGGGCAAUUGGAACUGUAGCCAACAGUCUACUCCAGAGCCAUAGCAACACUGGAUCCAAGCAGCAUCUGCGACCUACACCACAUCUCAUGGCAACGCUGGAGGCCAAGGAUCGAACCCACGUCCUCAUGGAUGCUAGUCAGGUUUGCUAACUGCUGAGCCAUGACAGGAACUCCUACAGCGGUCUUAACCAAUUGUGUUUGGGAAGUUUUUAUGAAUGAAGUCUGAACUGAAGAAAGUCAUAGCAAAUAGAUCAGGUGGGUAGGAAUCCUAUAUUUAUUGUAAGUACAAUCUAUGAUUAGAGACCUGAAAUGCAUUCUGCAUAUAAAAAGGAAAACGUUCUGGCCACAGGCAUUAAAACAUUCUUCUGCUACUAUUAGUGUGUAUCUUAUGAUGCCAUGUAUUUUCUACCGGUAAGAAAUAACCUAAUUGUUUGACUUAAAAAAAGGAUUUUUCUUACAUCUCCUUUUAAAAAAAAACUACGUAAAGGGAAUUAAAUCGACCUUGUGCAAUAAUCAUCCAUUUAUUUUGCUUUUGUUCCACGAGGGGCUCUAAAGAGUUAUUAUGCACCAGAAAAAGUAGACUUAACGUCGAUUGCUCCAGAAAUUCUUUAUAGUCAAUGUUUGAAAUAGAGUGGGUUUUUUGUUUUUUUUUUGAAACUUUUCUCUGGGAUAGUGUGAAGUCUUAUUUUCCCCAUGCAUUGAUCCCAUUCUCAUGAGAAUUUUAUCUCAAUAUUCAGCUAUAGUUGAUAUCAAGUACUAAAUAUUACUGUCUUGAUCAUGUGUUCAAUCAAACAAGAAGUACUGAUCUUUGAAUAUAGAAUUCACUGGUUUUUAUUUUGAUCUUGCUGCCCCAAGAAGGAUCUAAGUUAGAGUACUAGGUAUUGCUUUUGGACCCUGAGGAGCCUGAAUGGAGAGAAGACUAUAUGAAUAAGACUGGCAGCCAGCUGCUGCAAUUGAGAGUCAUUUAUUUAUUAUUUUAUUUUUUAAAUUACUCAACGAAUUUAUUACAUUUAUGGUUGUACAAUGAUCAUCACAAUCCAAUUUUGUAGGAUUUCCAUCCCACACCCCAGAGUCAUUCAUUUAAAUCUUAUUAAGCAUACAUUCUGUGUUAGGCAGUGGGGACACAAAGAGUACUAAAAACGUUUCCACCCUUUAUCAACAGUAUCAUUUAGUGGGGGAGACAGAGUAAAGAGUUUUGGCCCAUUCACUGUGUUAAGUGUUUUAAUAAAUAGGGGAACAGAAGUUAAUUUCUUCUGUACAGCAUAUAGGUGCCAUUUAGUUAAUUUUUAUCAGGAUUGCUAGGUGGCAGAAGAAACGGCUUUUAAGGCUCAUCUAAGCUAGAGUUUUCCUAACAUAUCAGAUAAUAAAAAUUAUGUGAUGUUCUUGUUAAGAAUACAGAUUCUAAGACCUCCCCCAUUCUCUCUGCCCUCCCCCCAAAGACUUAAUGCAGUAGAUCUGGAGGGGAUAUUAAAUAACAUAUUGCAUGUUGCUCUCCACUGUGACUUUUCAAAAGUCUAGAAGUGUUCUUUAAUUUGUCUGAUAAAUACUAGUGUUCCUCAUUGAGACUCUGGAAAAAUAAAAAAGUACAUCAUUAAAUUCUAUCUCAAUAUAGGUAUUUCUCCUGUGAGCUAAGCUGUAACUCAGGUAUCUUGCUUUCUGAUAAACAAAAAGAUAGUGCUGUUGAAAACUAGAGGAGGUAAUACUUUUCAGGAAAAUUGUAGGGCUUUAUGUGUAUUCUCUGCUAAUAAACCAUCAUGAUUUUAUGUGGAUUCGAACCAAAGAGAUUCUUAAUAAAUAGAGUACAUUUUUUUUCCUUAGAACAAAUUUCUAACUAAUUUAACCCAGGUCAUAUUUGUAGUAUGGUCCCAAAAUUAUAGAAAACAUGAUUUGUGCCUGGAUGUUUUUAAGAGUAAAUGAAUUAGGCUGCAUCAACCCUAGAAUGAUUCCAGUAUGACUUUUAAUUUUGAUGAAUCUAAUUUAUGUAAUUUAAUUUUGAUGAAUAGGCAACCAAAGGAAUUUUACAAACAUAGAGCACAGUGGAUGUGAUGCCCCCUGAAAUUACAUAAGGUUCUGGCCUUGUGGACUCUUCACUGAGUUUGAAUGGUAGAGUUACGAUAGCUGUAUGGCCAAGUCCUAUAACAUUAGUUUU
RNAcentral lists this long non-coding RNA (6239 nucleotides) under Sus scrofa (pig). Its description in RNAcentral is "lncRNA (ENSSSCG00055013583.1)". Lineage: Eukaryota; Metazoa; Chordata; Mammalia; Artiodactyla; Suidae. The record is from RNAcentral.